GCCCACGGCAGUGGGAGGCACAGAGA
This 26-nucleotide unclassified non-coding RNA is filed under the name Mus musculus (house mouse). RNAcentral describes it as "oocyte_clustered_small_RNA11884". The record is from RNAcentral. Lineage: Eukaryota; Metazoa; Chordata; Mammalia; Rodentia; Muridae.